This 10322-nucleotide long non-coding RNA is filed under the name Olea europaea (common olive). Its description in RNAcentral is "long non-coding RNA (OEUR_LNC000825)". The record is from RNAcentral. Lineage: Eukaryota; Viridiplantae; Streptophyta; Magnoliopsida; Lamiales; Oleaceae.
UAGUGUGAAGGUAUGGACAAGAGAACGUGUUCAGCCAUUCUCUUAGCUUCUGCACUGGCAAUUGCAUUCCAAGUCUUUGUUUUAUCUCCAAUAUCACCUGAUAUGCUCCUUCUUCCAACCUCUUCAAUCCCAUCAAACAGCAAGUUACAGGUGAAUAUAUAACUUACUCGUAAUUCGUGUAUGUGUAUAACCAACGGUUGAUGCUACUAGUUUCUUUUUGGCCUAAUAACUAGGAAGCGAGUAAACUUGGAGAAGGGCUUUUAAAGAAACCAGAAGCCAUUGCUGUCGACAAAACGGGCGUGCUUUAUACGGCUACAAGAGAUGGUUGGAUCACAAGAUUGCACAGAAAUGGAUCCUUGGAGAAAUGGAGGCACAUAGACAGCCAUCAUUUACUUGGAGUAACUGCAACAGCAGCUGGUGAUCUUGUCGUCUGCGACGCAGAGAAGGUAAAUCGUGUUGAAGAGUAACAUUUUCUUAACAAUUUUAGCUUUCCGAUGAGGUUGUUGGACACAUCUGGUGAAAGCAGUUCAGGUCUCAUCUUUAACCAUUUAUGGAAAUUGUGCACUUUUUUCUUAACAAUUUUAGCUAUUUGAUGAGGUGAUUAGACACAACAUCAAAUGAAAGCAUUUCAAGUCUCAUCUCUAAGACUCUAACCAUUUAGGACUUUAUUAAGGCUCCGUUUGAUACUUAUUUUUUUUCAAAAUAUAUUUUUAUCUCUUUUCUUUUCAACCACAUAUUUUUUAUUAAAAUAAUAUUAUAUGUAAAUGAAAAAAAUUUCAUUAUUUUUCAACCACACAUUUUCCACCAAUUUACUAUUCAAAAAUGUAUUUUUACGUAAAAAUGUCUCCCAAACACCCUCUAAAACUAUUUGUCUUUCGAUGUGGUGGUUAGACACAAUAUUAGGUGAAAUCACAAUUCAAGUUCCGCUUGUCAUCAUUUAAAAUAAAUAAAUAAAUUUGUGCACCUUUAUGAAAAUAAAUAUGAUGUGCAUGUGACAAGACAUUGUAAAACCAAAUUUUUAAAUAAGCAAAUACAAUCCCUUGUUAAUAAAUAAAGUUCUUAGAUGGGUUCAUUAUGCCUUAUACUUCUCAAGAAUUUUGUUGAGAUUCUCAAGUAUUUUACUCUCGUAAUUAUCGUGAUGGCACAGGGUUUGCUCAAGGUCAGAGAAGAUAGUGUCACCGUUCUUGCAUCCCAUGUUAAUGAUUCCAAAAUUUUGUAAGAUCCCUUGUAAAUUCGAUGUCAAUUUUCAUAAUGAAUUGCAAAAAAAUUGAUCUGCAACUUGUGUUAAACAAGCUUGUCUAGAAACUUCAAUGUUAGGUAGGAAUGCUUUACUCUCUCCCUCUUAAUUUUUUAUUUUUUUUAUCAAAUCAUCUUUGGGACCAUUUACUUUGACAAUUUAUAGUCUCUAGCUAAUUGAUGUCUAUUUGAAUACGCAAUGAGACUCAUUUUAUAGUUGUCUCUAUCUCUCUCUCUUAUUCCAACGAGAGAUAUAAUUGAAGAGUGAGAAGCUAUUAUUAAAAACAACAAAAAAGUUAAAAUAUUAUUUAUUAUAUGGAUAUUAAUCUUCUGUUGUUGGUACCAUCAAGAAAAUGCAACAAGUCAAUCCUGCAUCGAUACAAGUGUUGAAGCUUGGAAAGCCUCAAAAAAAUUCAUGUCGAUCAUAUACUAUUUAAUUUAGUUUGAUUAGUAGAUUUAUUUACCUUAAUCCUCUUUAAAAAAAAAAAAAAAAGCUUUUAUGGCCCUAAUACAUGUUUUAUAUUUAAAAUUUAUUUUCUAAAAUUAGAAAAAAAAAUUGUCGAUUUUACAUAGAGAUGACAAUUUGCCCCGUCCCGCCUCAACGGGGUCACGCCCCAAAUGGGGCAGAAAAACUCGCCCCGAUGGGUUGAUGGGGUGAGCUCGCCCCGCCCCGUGAAUAUUAAAUUUUUUCGAGUGUUUCUUUGAAUAUUGAUGUUAAUUUGAGCAUUAGUUGUUUUGAAUUUUUAAAUUUUGAAUUUGUAUUUUAUUAUGAAAAUACGUGGUUGAAAAUGAGUUUGAAAAAAAAAAAAUUGAAAUAAUAAUAGACAAAAAGGGCUAUGCUAUAAAGUUUGAAUAUUUACUUAUACAUUAUUUCAAAUAUUUAAAAGUUCUGCAGAUGAUGUGAUAGAAUCAGCAGAUGGUACUUUGUACUUCAGCAUGGCAACUACGAAAUUUGAGCCCCAUAAUUGGCACCUUGAGGUGCUCGAGGCAAAGUCGCAUGGCCAACUUGCAAAGUACGAUUCUUCAUCAAAGGAGACAUCUAUUUUGCUUGAUAAUCUUGCCUUUGCAAACGGUGUUGCCCUCUCAGCAGAUCAAGAUUACUUGGUCGUUUGUGAAACUUGGAAGUAAGUAUUUUUCCAACAAUAAAUGCUUAAUUUUUCUCAGUUUCCUCGGACAAAACUGGUAACAUAUUUAGUUGUGUUAGCUUCAACAAUAACAAAUUAAGUCCAUAUUUGAUCUUCAUUUUCUAAAAUUCAUUUUUCGUCAAAUUUAUUUUCAACAAUACAAUUAAUUAAUUUUUAUCAAGAUCUACUCAAAAAUAUAUUUCUCUAGAACAAACAGGGGCUAAAUUUUAUUCUUAAUAAAAUUGACAAUGGUUACAUAAAUCCUAUUUUUCUAGUCAAUUCUACUCGUUGCUAUUAGAUUAUUUUAUCCUACCACUUCCUCUUUAUGACUUGUGCCUUGAGAUAUCAAAAUAUGAGGAUUUGAAUUAUUUCUCUUAAUAAGGUUGAUCUUUUUAAGAUGAAAUAUUUAAUUUUACUACAGUAUUAGAGCUUUUAAAGUCAAAUAAAUAAUUUAAUUCGAUUAAGAUUCAAGCAAGCACAUGAAUCUUAAUAUUGACGUACUCAGACGAAGCUCCUUGUCGAGGGCAUGUUAAUAGCUACAUUAGAAGUUUACACAAGUAGAUUUACCCCUUUCAGCUGUUGCGAAAUUUAAUGGCUUCCUAUUUGUGAUUUUGUGGGCAGAUAUAGAUGCUUAAAAUAUUGGCUAAAACAGGAAAAGAGGGGACAAACUGAGGUAUUUAUUGAUAAUCUUCCUGGUGGGCCUGACAACAUAAAUCUUGCUCCAGAUGGCUCUUUUUGGAUUGCUGUGUUAGAGGUAAAACUCACUAUGAAGCUUAUCGCGGGAUUGUUUAACAAAUCAUUUCAUAAAAGUUUUCAACAAAUUUUGAUAAAAAUUGAUACAAUAUGCAAUUAAAAAUUGAUAAAAAUUGUGACUUCUCAAUAUAAAUGGUUAAAAUCGAAAACUGAUCCAUUGACAAGCACGAGGAAUUAUUUCAAGAAAAGCUGCAAAAUUUGAAGUCAAAUAACCACAUAAAUUUCUUGUGUUUCUCUGAAGGUUUAAAGAAAUUCAAGAUGAGAAAGCUAAAAUCUUGUCGAACUAAACUUUCUUUUUAGAGUAAUGCUAUUUAAUCCCAUCGGGACUGUAACUCAAAUUUAGGUGGCGCUAAAUGAUAGAUUAAAUGAAAGGUGGAAUCAAAUUAUUCAUUUAGUUUGACAUAUCAUUUAAUGUCACAUUAACUACAUAAUAUUAUUCUUCUUUUUAUUUUCCAUGUAUUCCUUUCCCUAUUUUAUUAUUCGAGUAACAAAUUGAUCUCUAACCUUAAAAGGGGGCAAACUUGCCCCCAAACAUUUUUUUAAACUUGAAAUAAUAGGUCCUCAAUAAGCGUCAUGUGACCCUCACCUAUCCGACUUUAUGAAGCCAAAUUUUGCUUUGCAACCUAGGCUUGUGCCAGGGACAAGUUAAUGAAGAUGUAGUUGUAGACCAACUGUUACUCAAGUGAUAGGUCACUGAAAUUCACAACAUAAUGUUCACAAUAUUUAUAGAAGAAAACUUUCUUCAUACUCGAGAUGAGAUAUAUUGUCACCUUUACACCCCCCCCCCCUCCCCCGCAAAAUGCAGCAUGAGUGAGUUCAUGUCUAAAAUAUGCGUUGAGAUAUUAUUUUUAAGAUCUCGAUGACACAAUAGAUUCCAACUCAUCAUAUGAAGACUUUCUCUGCUGCUGCAGGUGGUUCCUAAAAGGCUGGCAUUUGUACAUAAAUCAAGAGCGAUAAAACACAUUAUAGGGCGUUCCUCUAAAUUAAGCAAAUUGGUAACUGGUUUCUACAACAAAGCAAUGGUUGUCAAUGUAGCAAGUGAUGGCAAGAUUAUACGGAGCUUCGACGAUCCAACGGGAAAGGUUAUGUCCUUUGUAACAUCUGCACUGGAGUUCGAAAAUCAUUUGUAUUUGGGAACUCUUAAUUGUGACUUCAUAGGGAAACUGCCGUUGACAACUCCAUGAAAAUAGCACUAUUUGACUGGGGAUUGCACGCAUCAAUAAUAUUGUAAAAAAGAGUGGUAAAUAGUUUUGUUCCCUUGGUGCUGGUUAUAUUUUGUACUAAGAGAACUUUUAUGUGUAGUAUUAGACGAGACUAGAAGUGCAAUGAACGAACUUUUAUGUUGGGAUGUGUUAAUCCAUUCUACCCAAAAUGAAUGAGAAUCUGGAGAAAAACCUCAGAUAUGAAAAAGCACUUGGACCGCAACUCCACCUGUGUUUUUCCACUUUAUUUCUCAAAUGGAAAAUACCGCAUUAACAAAAAAAUUCUAACAAUCACUUUAAUUUAUAAAAGUGAUUGUGACUACCGCAUUAAGUGCUUAUUCGAUAAUGAUUAUGAAAAUUGAUUUUUUGAUCGUUAGAGAGAAAAGUGGGUCACCUGUAAGUGAUAAAAGUCAAAAAUGACUAUUAGAGUAAUAAAAUAACAAUUAAAAAUUAAUUUUUUUAAAGUGAAAAAUUGCUAUCAAACGAAAUAAGUCUGUAGCUAAUUGAUGUCUAUAUGAAUACGUGAUGAGAAUCAUUUAGUUGUCUCUAUCAUCUCACUCUUAUUCAAUGAUACAAUAAUUGAAGAGUGAGACGCUAUUAUUAUAAUAAUAAAGUUCAAAUAUUAUUUAGGGGUAUUUUAAAAAAUGUCUAAUUUCAUGGGUAUCAAUUGAAAAAUGUCCACUUUUUAAAUUUAGCAUUAAAUUAUCUAAUAUGCCCUUAAUGAAAAAAAAAAAAAAAAGCAAUUUAUUUAUUUUUUCAAUUUGUUGCCGAUUUCGAGAAGUAACUUUUAUGAGAAGUUAUAUUAAAAUGAUGUUAUCGACAUUUUACAUGUCAUUCUCGAUAUUUGAAUUUCGUUUAUAUUUUAAAGUACACAUGUCAAAUCACAAUAUUAAAUGUUCUCGACAUUUUAAAUAUCUAGAAUGAAAUUUCAUUCCGAAUAUGAUAUUUCUCUACACUUGAAAUGUAGUUCUCGACGUUUCUGUGUCAAUAAGAAAAAUAGCAUUAAUUGUGAUUUGAUAUGUGCACUUUUGAAAUAAAUAUGACAGGUUAUGUGUCAAAAAUUUAUUGGCUAAUAAAAUUUUUGAAAAAAUGUCCAUUUCUUAUCUUUGUGAGGAAUUAUAAAUUGUUCACGGGGAUAUUUUGGUUAAAAAUAUUUCAAAAUGGACAUUUUUGCAAAGAUUUGUGAAAGUGGAUAUUUUUGCAAAUGAACAUGUGAAAGUGAAAAUUUCAAGUAAUUUCCUCUAUUAUAUUAUUUAUUAUACGGAUAUCAAUCUUCUAUUGAGUGCCACCAAGAAAAUGCAACCAUUUAGUCAAUCCUGCAUCCAUUUAAAUCUUGAAGCUUGGAAAGCUACAAAAAAAUUUCAUGUUGAUGAUAUACUAUUUUAAUCUAGUUUGAUUUGUAGAUUUAUUUACCUUAUCCUCUUUAAAAAAUAUAAAAGCUUUUAAGGCCCUAAUAAUUUUUUUAUAUUUAAAGUUUAUUUUCUAAAAUUACAAUUAAAAAAGAAAUUGGCCCAGUCGAUUUUACACAUCUAGAUUGUAUUAUGUAUUUGGUAAAAAUAAAAAUAAUAAAAGGCAAACAUGCUAUGUAUUCAAUUAAUUUGGAUUAAUUAAUUGUGUAUUCAAUUAAAACGAGUUUUAAAAUAAUGAAUUUUCGAAGAAUGUGUGAAUAAAAGUAGGAAAAAGUUUUAAAUGUACUUACAAAAUAAUUUAUUGAGAGAAUAUGCGAUUGAAUAUGAGUUUGAGAAAAAAAUUGAAAUAAUGGUAGAUGAACAUGGCUAUGUUAUAAAGUUUGGAUAAAUGGCAACUUGCAAGAGAUGAUUCUUCUUGAAAGGAGAUGUCUAUUUUGCUUGAUAAUCUUGCCUCUGCAAACGGUGUUGCCCUCUCAGCCGAUCAAGAUUACUUGGUCAUAUGUGAAACUUGGAAGUAAGUUUUUUUCAACAAUAAAUGCUUAAUUUUUCUCAUUUUACUUGACAAAACAACUUAUUUAGUUGUGUCUGCAUCAACAAUAAUAAAUUAAGUCCAUAUUUUACCCUGAUUUUCUAUAAUUUAUUUUUUUGUAAAAUUGUUUUCAAUCACACAAUUAAUUAAUUUUUAUCAAAAUCUAUUAAAAAUUUGAUUUUCUAGAACAAAUCGAGGCUAAAUUUUAUUUUUAAUAAAUUUGAUGUAGACUACAUAAAUCAUUUUUCUCUAGUCAAUUCUAUUCAUUGUUGAAUAUUGAGAUGAUUUGUUUAUGACGGAGGGACCCGACAAUGAGGCGCUCCAACAUUUGGUCCCAUGUGAAGGACACCGCGUAGAGAUGCGACCUUCCGUUGAUGAGAUGGGGCUGCCAGCAAUGAUUUGCGCAAAGUGAAAGAAUCAAAGUGAGGAAUACGGGAAUUAGAUUGAACAUGGUUUACUGGAUGGGUGUUUUGUGUAUUCUAAUUCAUAGGAUCUAGGAAACUAAGGGUGUGUUCUCUUUCUCGUUUUUGACUCGUUCUCUUUCUCGUUUUCGAUUUUUCAAAACGAUGAAAACUUGUUCUCUUACCCGUUUUAGAAAACACGUUUCCGAAAACACACAAAAAAAUUGUGAAGAAAACGAAAAACGACCAAAAUAUCGUUUUGGCUAUUUUCUAUAUAAAACUCCAAAAAAUUGCAAAACACAGGAAAUGCCUUUUGAAAGACAAAACCAAAUCUUCAUCCACUUUCUUCAAAUCCAUUCUCUGCCUUAUCUUUCUCUUGGACACCGUCUGUGGGUGAUCGACACCAGCUAUGGAUGGUCGCACAUUUCAACCAAUGACGAAGGAGAUGUGGUAGUAUCGACACCAGCAUGGGGACGCGUGCUGUUAUGAACGCAGCGUCGCAACCCAUUCAUCGUAACCCAGGGAAGGGGACGUUACUGUGGUUUGGGGCCGUCUCUACCAGCAGUCGAAGAGAGAAAAGUUGCAAUUCAUCGCGAUGGGUGAUCGACACCGCAAAUCUGUCCAGAAUCUGCUUUCUCUAUUUUUUGGGAGUUUUUUCUUUUGUUUUUUGGAUUUGGAAGGCGAUAGGUGUUGAUGGUGGUUGUAAUGGUUUGUUUGUGGUGGCAGUGGUUGAUGGUGGUGGUGUGUGGUAUUGAUUUUGGAAGUGGUGAGUGGUUCAGGGUGGUGGCAGUGGUUGAUGGUUGGUGGUGGCAAUGGUGUUGAUGGUUGAUGGUGGUGGCAGUGGUGUUGAUUUUGGUCUAUGGUAGUGGUGGUGGUUGUCUCUGUUGGCGGUGGUUGAUGGUGGUGGGCUAAGAGGAAAACACAUUUUCCAAAAUUUCAAAGAAUUUCAUAGUGGAUACAUUUUCCAUUUUUCUGUUUUCAGAAACGUUUCUCAAAAUGUCAAACAGAACGUAUUUUCAACAAUUUCAAAAUGUACACUCAGAACACAAAAUUCAAAAUGAAUUCAAAAAUAUAAAACUAAAACACGAAGAGAAAACACCCUAAGGUUUUGUAUAUAUGGAUUUGAAUUGUUUAUAUAGGUUUUUCUCUGACAUUGGACACGUUUCAUUUUAUUAUGAACUCCACUAGAGUUGUCAGAAAUUGAACGCUUUUUCUCAAAGGGUUUGCUGAUGGUCACAUGGUUGAAGGUGGUGGCAUUGGUAUGGUUGAAGGAUGGGGAAGAAGAUGAAGUGUAGUGGGAUGGGAUAGGAGGGAAAAUAUAAAGUUUAAAGGUUUGGGAUCGUGGAUGGUACAUAUAAAAAUUUUGGAUGUAAUUUGUAAAAAAAUAAAAAAAUUUAGCAAUUAUUCUUUUUUAAUUUUGUUCAAUUUUUACUAUUUUUAACUAUUAAACUAAAGGAUAUUGAUUGUAAGGAAAAUUUUCAAAUAAAAGAAUACAAAUAGAUGGUUUUCUAUGAUUUCCAGUAGGGAGUAUACCGUACAUUGACAAGUUUUUUGGAGAGUUUUUUGCUAUUAAUCAUUUUUAUAUUUGCUUUCUAAUCUUUUCUUUUACUCAUUUUUCGAUUUUGGAUUGUUUAUCCACCCUCAAGUUCACGCCUUCUAAGUUUUAUUUGUGGUUACUUUAGAACAAUGUGCUAUUUUUAUUUGAAAAAUUCUAUAAAAUAUUUAAAGUGAAAAAUAAACUAAUUCUUGAAUUUCAAUAAUUUGCUUCUUUUUUCAUUUCAUUUCUAUUUUUCUUAUUUAAUUUUAUUUUUAUAUCACACUAAAAUAUAUAAGCAUCAUUUGUUGAAGAUUUCUAUAUAUUUAUGAGUAAAGCCUCUUAUACACCGAGUUUUACACUCCCCUCACAUGGAGGGAGGGGUUCACGCCCAAUUAAUGCGCAAGCCCCGCCCCCAUGUGAGGGGGUUGUACAUUGAGCUGUAAGACUCGAUAUAUGUGUAGCAGCUCCAUAUAUUUAUUGUCUCAUUUUCUACUUAUAUUAGAAGUGGACAUAAUGAAAAUUAAAUGUAGCCAAGUACAAAAAAAUAUUGGUUCAACCCAUUUCGGCCUUUUGACCAUUGAUCCUUUUAUUUUUUUGGGGUCGAUUUUGAAAACUUUGAUAUACAAAAAUAUAUCUUAAUACUAUAGGAUCGUCAAAAAAAGGCACUGGGGAAGAAUAUGUUCUUGAGUAACAAUGACCGAUUGAGGAAUUCAUCAAACAGGUCGACGUUUUACCAAUUUUUUGGUCCAAAUGCACCACAAUGUUAUACUCAAAAUUUGCGCAAAAAUCCUUGAUCUAGAUCUGAAUAUGAAUCUGAAUCUGAAUCUGAAUUGGUAUGCAUUAUUGAUCAAGAAUGCUGUAGCCCUUAAAAUAUUCCUAACAGGCCAUACUUGUGAGCUUGUACAUAUAGCAGAGGGAUUCGAUUAUAUACUCUUAGGGAACAUAAAAAAGUCGUGACAAUCAACUAGUACAUUUUAUAUAGGUGACUCUUCAACAUGACUUCGUCUAACUUAGUGAUAAGCAUAGUUUUAAUACAUAAUUUGCCCUUAAUCUUGCUUUUCUUAGUUAAUCUUUUCUUAUUCAUAUGUUUUGAGUUGGAAUGGGUUAACAAGAAUCAAAGGGAAAUUUGUUUACAUUUUAUUAGUUAAAGAAUGGUUGAUUAAAAAGUUUGAGCCAUUGGUUUGAAUGGAUCGUACAAUUUUCAAAGGUGAGUUUAAUGUGCUUCUUUACUUCUCACAACAACACGUAGCACGCACAUGUUAACGUGGGUGGACUGACUACUAAUUUCUAUCUAUUUUAUUUUUAUCUUUUUUAUUAAUAAUAAUAAUUAGUAUGCGUCUUAAAUAAUUGUUGGAAUAUAGGGACUAAAAUUGCAAUUUUCAUUAUGAUUAGUAUUGGGCAUUGUUCUAAAAAGCUCCCAUAAGUUUUGUCUUGCUUGAAGCAUGGCCUUAUAGUCUAAUCACGCUUUACACUUUUUUUUUACGCAUAUGCAAAAUUUGCUUUUCAAAAUACUAAUAUUACGUUUCUAUAUUUCUAUAAAAGGGUCCUCCUGAUUCUGGGUGUCGUCAAUUGAUAUUUUAAUGAAUUUUAAAUAAUUAUAAAUUCUAAUAAAUUACAUGAAUUUGAAUAUAUUUCCUCAUAAUCCCAUAAUUUUAAUAGAAUUUGUAAAUUUUAAAGGAUUUAAUUGAAAUACAUUAAAACCCAAUUGAAAACACCUGAAUCUUGAAUAAUUUUUAAAAUUCGUUAAAAUUUCAACCGAGAACCCCUAAUCAUGUAUCCAUCUGCAUCACACCACUAUCCAAGAAGAGACUUAUCCAAUUUUUGGAGUCAUGGCUUUUGUCAGCAAAUUUGUCUUUAAAUUAAAAAGCCGUUCAUCACAGCCUCCAUUGGAAGUACUAGUGUCAAGGUAUGGACAAGAGAACAUGUUCAGCCAUUAUCUUAGCUUCUGCACUGGCAAUUGCAUUCCAAGUCUUUGUUUUAUCUCCAAUAUCACCCGAUAUACUUCUUCUUCCAACCUCUUCAAUCCCAUCAAACAGCAAGUUACAGGUAAAUAUAUACCUUACUCGUAAUUCGUGUGUGUGUAUAACAAACGGUUUAUGCUACUAGUUUCUUUUUGGCCUAAUAAAUAGGA